UUCCCGGAGAGCAGAUCUUCUAACUGUGC
This 29-nucleotide non-coding RNA is filed under the name Rattus norvegicus (Norway rat). The record is from RNAcentral. Lineage: Eukaryota; Metazoa; Chordata; Mammalia; Rodentia; Muridae.